UGCAGUGUCCUUGGAUGUUGUCUCGUCAGCUAAAAGCUGUAAAAGGAUUUUCUUUGCCCAUUGCUUUUUACAAUACAGUAAUACUUAGUCUCUUGCAGACCCAGAAACUAGUUAGUAUAAAACCUAACUUUAUUAAAGUGUAAUAUCACUGCCAAUGGCCACCUUUUCUUUCUCUCUCCCUUUCUUUUUUUUUAAGACAAGUGAUGUAGCUUAUCAAAA
RNAcentral lists this unclassified non-coding RNA (219 nucleotides) under Hevea brasiliensis (rubber tree). The record is from RNAcentral. Lineage: Eukaryota; Viridiplantae; Streptophyta; Magnoliopsida; Malpighiales; Euphorbiaceae.